UACGGAGGUUGCAAGCGUUGUUCGGAAUGACUGGGCGUAAAGGGAGCGCAGGCGGCCAAGUCAGUCUGAAGUGAAAGCCCGGGGCUCAACCCCGGAAUUGCUUUGGAUACUGCUUGGCUUGAGUAUGCGAGAGGAAAGCGGAAUUCCAGGUGUAGCGGUGAAAUGCGUAGAUAUCUGGAGGAACACCGGUGGCGAAAGCGGCUUUCUGGCGCAUCACUGACGCUGAGGCUCGAAAGCGUGGGGAG
RNAcentral lists this ribosomal RNA (245 nucleotides) under uncultured Candidatus Hydrogenedens sp. Its description in RNAcentral is "partial 16S ribosomal RNA". It matches the Rfam family "Bacterial small subunit ribosomal RNA", at positions 524 to 768 of the family's 1533-position model. The record is from RNAcentral. Lineage: Bacteria; Pseudomonadati; Candidatus Hydrogenedentota; Candidatus Hydrogenedentia; Candidatus Hydrogenedentales; Candidatus Hydrogenedentaceae.